Molecule: ribosomal RNA, 468 nt
Filed under: uncultured bacterium
Lineage: Bacteria
Description: partial 16S ribosomal RNA
Rfam family: Bacterial small subunit ribosomal RNA
Source: RNAcentral
GAUGAACGCUGACAGAAUGCUUAACACAUGCAAGUCUACUUGAAUUUGGGUUUUUUAACUUAGAUUUGGGUGGCGGACGGGUGAGUAACGCGUAAAGAACUUGCCUCACAGCUAGGGACAACAUUUGGAAACGAAUGCUAAUACCUGAUAUUAUGAUUAUAAGGCAUCUUAGAAUUAUGAAAGCUAUAUGCGCUGUGAGAGAGCUUUGCGUCCCAUUAGCUAGUUGGAGAGGUAACGGCUCACCAAGGCGAUGAUGGGUAGCCGGCCUGAGAGGGUGAACGGCCACAAGGGGACUGAGACACGGCCCUUACUCCUACGGGAGGCAGCAGUGGGGAAUAUUGGGCAAUGGACCAAGAGUCUGAUCCAGCAAUUCUGUGUGCACGAUGACGUUUUUCGGAAUGUAAAGUGCUUUCAGUUGGGAAGAAAAAAAUGACGGUACCAACAGAAGAAGUGACGGCUAAAUACGUG